AAGUCGUAACAAGGUCUCCGUUGGUGAACCAGCGGAGGGAUCAUUACAGAGUUAUACAACUCCCAUACCAUCUGUCAACCUACCCAGCUAUGCCUCGGCGUAAGCUCGGCCGGGGGCGGUCCGGCGCUACCCUGUAGCGGCGGCCGCGCCACCUCGGCCGCGCCCGCCGGCGGUACACUAAACUAUGUUUUACUUUACCUUCUGAGCGUCUUAUUUUAAUAAGUUAAAACUUUCAACAACGGAUCUCUUGGUUCUG
This 256-nucleotide unclassified non-coding RNA is filed under the name air metagenome. Its description in RNAcentral is "partial contains small subunit ribosomal RNA, internal transcribed spacer 1, and 5.8S ribosomal RNA". The stretch from base 1 to 46 matches the Rfam family "Eukaryotic small subunit ribosomal RNA", at positions 1786 to 1831 of the family's 1831-position model. The record is from RNAcentral.